This 462-nucleotide ribosomal RNA is filed under the name uncultured bacterium. RNAcentral describes it as "partial 16S ribosomal RNA". It matches the Rfam family "Bacterial small subunit ribosomal RNA", at positions 28 to 507 of the family's 1533-position model. The record is from RNAcentral.
GACGAACGCUGGCGGCGUGCUUAACACAUGCAAGUCGAACGGAAAGGCCCUUCGGGGUACUCGGGUGGCGAACGGGUGAGUAACACGUGGGUGAUCUGCCCUGCACUUUGGGAUAAGCCUGGGAAACUGGGUCUAAUACCGAAUAGGACCACGCGCUUCAUGGUGUGUGGUGGAAAGCUUUUGCGGUGUGGGAUGGGCCCGCGGCCUAUCAGCUUGUUGGUGGGGUAAUGGCCUACCAAGGCGACGACGGGUAGCCGGCCUGAGAGGGUGACCGGCCACACUGGGACUGAGAUACGGCCCAGACUCCUACGGGAGGCAGCAGUGGGGAAUAUUGCACAAUGGGCGCAAGCCUGAUGCAGCGACGCCGCGUGAGGGAUGACGGCCUUCGGGUUGUAAACCUCUUUCAAUAGGGACGAAGCGCAAGUGACGGUACCUAUAGAAGAAGCACCGGCCAACUACGUG